GUGCUUACUUCGGCAGCACACGUACUAAGAUUGGAACGGCACAGAGAAGGUUAGCAUGGCCCCUGCGCAAGGAUGACACGCAAAUCUGUGAAGCGUUUCAUAUUUAA
This is a small nuclear RNA of Molossus molossus (Pallas's mastiff bat), 107 nucleotides long. The record is from RefSeq and is a predicted model, not a curated record. Lineage: Eukaryota; Metazoa; Chordata; Mammalia; Chiroptera; Molossidae.